AUAAAAGUACUGCUGUACUGUUGAUUUAUUUUUAUAUUUUGGUUUUUGGGGGAGAAGCCUGAAAAAAUUAGACAAGUUUCUUGUUUAAAUUAAUUAUAUAAGCCUGAAAUUAGCUAUUACUAAGGAAUUUGUUACAAAGCAAUUUAGAUAUAAAGAAGAAUAAUUAUACUAUUUAGUGAUGGUGGUAAUGGAAAGAAUUAGAUUUAAAUUUAUUUAUGCUAGAAUGAGUAUUAGUCACUAGUUGAAUGGAUUUUAAUUAGAAAAUAAUCUAUAGGCAUGUUUUGUCUAGGAAUUAAGUAGAAAUAAGGAACUCGGCAAAUAGAAGCUUCGCCUGUUUAUCAAAAACACGGCUCUUUGAAUUACUUCUUAUGGAGAGUCGAACCUGCCCAGUGAAAUUUUAACGGCCGCGGUACCCUAACCGUGCAAAGGUAGCAUAAUCAUUUGCCUUAUAAUUAAAGGCUUGUAUGAAUGGUUUGACGGGGCAUUACUGUCUGUUUUUUAUUUUGUAGAAUUUGACUUCCAGGUGAAGAGGCCUGGGUAUAAUUGAAAGACAAGAAGACCCUAUCGAGCUUAAGAAUAAACUAUAAAUAAAUUAUAAAUUAAAAUCACUUGUUAGUUAAUUUUUUUGGUUGGGGCGACCCAGGAACAGGUAAAGCUUCCUGCAUAUUUUCAGUUAACAAAUAAUGAUCCAGCAAGGCUGAUUAGCGAAAUUAGUUACCGUAGGGAUAACAGCAUAAUCCUUCUUGAGAGAUCUAAUCGAAAGAGGGGGUUGUGACCUCGAUGUUGGACUAUAAUAUCCUAAAGAUGUAGAAGUCUUU
This 818-nucleotide ribosomal RNA is filed under the name Jagora asperata. Its description in RNAcentral is "partial 16S ribosomal RNA". It matches the Rfam family "Bacterial large subunit ribosomal RNA", at positions 1449 to 2566 of the family's 2925-position model. The record is from RNAcentral. Lineage: Eukaryota; Metazoa; Mollusca; Gastropoda; Pachychilidae.